UACGUAGGGUGCAAGCGUUGUCCGGAAUUAUUGGGCGUAAAGAGCUCGUAGGCGGUUUGUCGCGUCUGCUGUGAAAACUCGGGGCUUAACCCCGGGCCUGCAGUGGGUACGGGCAGACUAGAGUGCGGUAGGGGAGACUGGAAUUCCUGGUGUAGCGGUGAAAUGCGUAGAUAUCAGGAGGAACACCGGUGGCGAAGGCGGUUCUCUGGGCAUUACCUGACGCUGAGGAGCGAAAGUGUGGGGAGCGAACAGG
This 253-nucleotide ribosomal RNA is filed under the name uncultured bacterium. Its description in RNAcentral is "partial 16S ribosomal RNA". It matches the Rfam family "Bacterial small subunit ribosomal RNA", at positions 524 to 776 of the family's 1533-position model. The record is from RNAcentral.